Molecule: ribosomal RNA, 451 nt
Filed under: uncultured bacterium
Lineage: Bacteria
Description: bacterial SSU rRNA
Rfam family: Bacterial small subunit ribosomal RNA
Source: RNAcentral
ACUCCUACGGGAGGCAGCAGUGGGGAAUCUUGGACAAUGGGCGCAAGCCUGAUCCAGCCAUGCCGCGUGAGUGAUGAAGGCCUUAGGGUCGUAAAGCUCUUUCGCCAGGGAUGAUAAUGACAGUACCUGGUAAAGAAACCCCGGCUAACUCCGUGCCAGCAGCCGCGGUAAUACGGAGGGGGUUAGCGUUGUUCGGAAUUACUGGGGCGUAAAGCGCGCGUAGGCGGGGUUGUUAAGUUAGAGGUGAAAUCCCGGGGGCUCAACCCCGGAACUGCCUUUAAUACUGGCAACCUAGAGUUCGAGAGAGGUGAGUGGAAUUCCGAGUGUAGAGGUGAAAUUCGUAGAUAUUCGGAGGAACACCAGUGGCGAAGGCGGCUCACUGGCUCGAUACUGACGCUGAGGUGCGAAAGUGUGGGGAGCAAACAGGAUUAGAUACCCUGGUAGCGACUGA